UACGGAGGGUGCAAGCGUUAUUCGGAUUUACUGGGCGUAAAGAGAGCGUAGGCGGUUUAAUAAGUCUGAUGUGAAAGCCCACGACUCAAUCGUGGAAGUGCAUUGGAUACUGUUAGACUAGAGUGCAGGAGAGGAGAACGGAAUUCCUGGUGUAGAGGUGAAAUUCGUAGAUAUCAGGAGGAACAACAGAGGCGAAGGCGGUUCUCUGGACUGUAACUGACGCUAAGGCUCGAAAGUGUGGGUAGCAAACGGG
This 253-nucleotide ribosomal RNA is filed under the name uncultured bacterium. Its description in RNAcentral is "partial 16S ribosomal RNA". It matches the Rfam family "Bacterial small subunit ribosomal RNA", at positions 524 to 776 of the family's 1533-position model. The record is from RNAcentral.